GUGGGAGCGAGAGGCCUCAUUUAUGGCUUUAGACUGGAUGCACAUGCGGUACUGCUCGGGGGUCAGCUCAUCAGCACAGCGUUUUUCAGGCCAGAGGUGGAAAAGACCAGUAACCGGAGUCCAAAUCACAAUGAGGUCACCAUGCAGUCACCCUGGGUUAAAUGUGGUGUGCAGGUCUGUGUUGGAGUGGAUAUACAGCUUUCUGCUGGACCCUGCUGACACUGGCAAAAGUGAA
RNAcentral lists this long non-coding RNA (235 nucleotides) under Homo sapiens (human). RNAcentral describes it as "PREDICTED lncRNA (TCONS_00275680)". Lineage: Eukaryota; Metazoa; Chordata; Mammalia; Primates; Hominidae. The record is from RNAcentral.